UACGUAGGUCCCGAGCGUUGUCCGGAUUUAUUGGGCGUAAAGCGAGCGCAGGUGGUUUAUUAAGUCUGGUGUAAAAGGCAGUGGCUCAACCAUUGUAUGCAUUGGAAACUGGUAGACUUGAGUGCAGGAGAGGAGAGUGGAAUUCCAUGUGUAGCGGUGAAAUGCGUAGUUAUAUGGAGGAACACCGGUGGCGAAAGCGGCUCUCUGGCCUGUAACUGACACUGAGGCUCGAAAGCGUGGGGAGCAAACAGG
Molecule: ribosomal RNA, 252 nt
Filed under: uncultured bacterium
Lineage: Bacteria
Description: partial 16S ribosomal RNA
Rfam family: Bacterial small subunit ribosomal RNA
Source: RNAcentral